RNAcentral lists this long non-coding RNA (2025 nucleotides) under Nicotiana benthamiana. RNAcentral describes it as "long non-coding RNA (NBEN_LNC013812)". Lineage: Eukaryota; Viridiplantae; Streptophyta; Magnoliopsida; Solanales; Solanaceae. The record is from RNAcentral.
AAACUCCUGUCUCAUUGCAUCCUGCCAUGCUGGGACAGAUGCAGCUUGAGAGUAAUACAUAGGUUCAGAUUCCAAAAUGGAAGAAGAGGAGCCAGAAAAAGCAGGCAGUUGACAGACAUAAUCCUUAAGAUAGGAAGGAGGAUUAUGUUGUCUAGUAGACUUUCUAAGUGUGGGAAGAGGAUGGGAAGGAGGUAACACGGGAGAAGGAAGAUCAGGAUUGAAAGAAGGAAGGGAAGAUGAACCAGCAUCAGGAGAAGCAGGUGCAAGAGAAUCAGAAUUAGAAGGAAUAACAGGAGAAUCAGGGGAAGUAAAUAUAGGAAAGUCUGAGGAAGUGAAGUCAUCAACAGGAGUAAUAGAAGGAAAAUAUGAAGAAGAAGAGUGAGCAGGAGUAGGAUUGUUCUUAAAAGGGAAAUAAGUUUCAUGGAAGACAACAUCCCCAGAAACAAAACACUUCUUGGUAAACAAAUUAUACAGUUUAUAACCCUUCUUGGCAAAGGGGUAACCCAGAAAAACACAAGAAUGAGCUCUAGGUUUCAGCUUGUCCCUUUGAGGAAUAGGGACAUCAGCAUAAGCAAGGCAUCCAAAUGCCCUCAGAUGGGAAUAUGAUGGAGCGUUGCCAUACAAAAUUUCAUGAAACAGCAGCAUAAUCAAGGCACCCAAAUGCCCUCAAAUGGGAAUAUGAUGGAGCUAUGCCAUACAAAAUUUCAUGGGGUGACUUAUGGUGUAGGAUUCUGGAAGGUAUUCUGUUAAGAAGAUAGGUGGCAGUGAGUAGACAAUCCCCCCAGAAGGAUACAGGUAGGCCAGACUGAAAAAGGAGGGCUCUACAUGUUUCAAGAAGUGUUCUGUGUUUUCUUUCAACAACCCCAUUCCAUUGAGGUGAAUGAGGGCAGGAGGUUCGAUGAAUAAUCCCCUGGCUACUAAAAAAGGAUCUGCCCUCAGUACUGGAUCCAAUUCUAAGGCAUUGUCACUUCUAACAGUCUGGACCACAGUGUUAAACUGAGUUUUAACAAAGGAGAUGAAAGACUUAAGCAGGGGAAAAGCAUUGCUUUUGGAUCCCAUUAAGUGUGUCCAGGUUGCCCUAGAAAAAUCAUCAACUAUAGUAAGGAAGUACUUAUAACCCGAAGAGGUAGAAGUGUGGUAAGGCCCCCAAGUAUCCACAUGUAUUAGUUGAAAUGGUCUAGUGGUACUGAUACUGCUGUCAUGAAAGGGAAGUCUAGUCUGUUUGGCCAUAGGGCAGACAGAAUAAGGAAAAGGUUGUUUAGAAGCAAGUGGAAAAGACAAACCAGAAAUAUGUCUCAUAUUUGCAAAAGGAGUAUGUGCUAGUCUUAAAUGCCAAAUGUAAUUCAUAUCAGAUGCAACAGCAUUAUUACAAAUGGAAUUAUUUACAAUUGUAGGCAAGCCAAUAUUUUUGCUGUUAGACACAGUGUCAUCAUUACAAAAAUUAGACAAAGCACACACAGAAGUAGAAGGAGAACCAGGAGAGGAAGAAGGGGAAGGAGGCACCCAAGACAGUUUGUAUAAGCCAGCUUCCUCUUUACCAAGAUCCAGAGGCCUCUUCGGAGAAGGGUCCUGUAUCAUGUGAAGCAAACAGGAAGUUGGAGUGAACAAAACUAUACAGUGCAACUGUUUUAUCAACUUGUGAACAGAAAUCAAGUUGUGUUUAAAUGAAGGAACCAGAAGCACAUUGUGAAGAGUAAGGGAAGAAGUUAAUGCAAAAGAACCGAUCAAGUUGUGUUUAAUGGAAGGAACCAGAAGCACAUUGUGAAGAGUAAGGGAAGAAGUUAGUGCAAAAGAACCUGUACAAGUUACUUUUACUUUGUAACCAUUAGGCAGAAUUACAAGAUAAGGAACAGUCAAAGGUAUGAUGUUAAAAAGCAGGUUUUUGUUAUGUGUCAUGUGAUUAGAUGCCCCUGAAUCUAUGAUCCAGGUGACAGAGUUAAUAUGUGUAAGCAUGCAUAAUUCGGAAUCAGAAACAAGACUCUCAGUCAACAUAGUACCAGCAAAAUUAGCAGCACACAUGGGAGG